GGUCAGCGUUCAAUAAGUUCGAUCGAUGGAUGGUUCCGACGAGCUGGGAUGGCGGAGCGGUUUGUGCCAAACGUCCUGCAGAUGUCACUCUACCCCUACGCAAUGUCCAUCCCCGCAUCCAGGCCCUGGCCGCGUUACCUUCCUUCUGUCCUAUUUAUUGAGCGCCUACUUGCUAGGGGCGGAGCACUGGACUAAGCGCUUGGAAAGUACAACCGGGCAACCGAUCGAACCGAUCCCUCCCCAACUACGGAGAAGCAGCGUGGCUCAGCGGAAAGAGCCUGGGUUCGAAUCCCCGCUCCGCCCCUUGUCAGCCGGGUGACUGCGGGCGAGUCACUUCACUUCUCCGGGCCUCAGUUCCCUCAUCUGGAGAAGGGGGAUGAAGACCGGGAGCCUCACGUGGGACGACCUGAUUCCCCCGUAUCCCCCCCCCCCCCCCAGCGCUUAGAACAGUGCUCGGCACCUAGGAAGCGCUUAACAAACACCAACAUUGGUAUUAUCAACUAAGGGCUCGGCAGCGUGGCUCGGGGGCGAGAGCCCGGGUUUGGGAGUCGGAGGUCGUGGGUUCUAAUUCGUCCAUUCAUUCAUUCGUAUUUAUGGAGCGCUUACUAGGUGCAGAGCACCGGACUGAGCGCUUGGAAGGGACAGAUCGGCACCGGAUGGACGGUCCCUGCCCUUCGACGGGCUCAGGGUCUGAUCCGGGGGGAGACGGACGAGGACGAGGACGAUGGCGAUGAAUAGCGUCGAGGGGCCGCACGGCUCGUUGAAACGAUAGCAAUGAAUAGAAUCAAGGUGAUCCCGACUCCACCGGGUGUCGGCUGGGUGACUUCGGGGCAGUCACUUGACUUCUCCGUGCCCUCGGUGACCUCAUCGAAUGGGGAUGAAGACUGGGAGCCCCACGUGGGGCCACCCGAUGACCCCGUAUCCACCCCAGCGCCUAGAACAGUGCCCAACGCGUAGCGAGCGCUUAACAAAUGCCAUCAUCGUCGUUAUUAUUAUUAAUACGAGGCUCUCUGUGUCCGCUGCAGCCUCCUCGGGCCGAGGAAAGAGGGUGCCGUUCGCUCACGACGAGGCUUCCGUCCCCCACUCUACUUCCAGGGACCCAAGUACCCGUUCACACUCACCGAAACAUUACGAUUCUACGGUGAUGAGGGCACGUCCGGGAUCAGAAUCCACGUCCUCGAACCCCCGGACCCACGCUCUCCCCACUAGGCCCCGCCGCUUCUUCAUUACAAGACGAAGAGAGGCCUCCAGGGGCUCAUUCCCAAAUUCCCCAGCGUGGCUCAGUGGAAAGAGCACGGGCUUGAGGGGUCAUGAGUUCGAAUCCCGGCUCUGCCCCUUGUCAGCUGUGUGACCGUGGGCGAGCCACUUCAGUUCUCUGGGCCUCAGUGACCUCAUCUGUAAAACGGGGAUUAACCGUGAGCCUCACGUGGGACAACCUGAUGACCCUGUAUCUACCCCAGCGCUUAGAACAGUGCUCUGCACGUAGGAAGCGCUUAACAAAUACCAACAUUAUUAUUCCCCGAGCUGAGCCGUUCCUGGCGGGGAGCCGCUUCGUGCUCCGAACAACGGGCGCGGUCGGCAGAACCGCUUCCGCUUUCCCUUCCCGGGAUCACCGGGACGGGACCGGCUCCGGAGGUGAGUAAGGUAGGAAAUAAGUGGGAAAAGGGAAGCGGUGGAGCCGGCCGAGUCUCCCUCCGGGCUCGAUCCCAACUCAGUCUGGGCGUUCGGCCAGAGCGAAGCAACAGCUGGGCUUGGUGGAGGGAAGCUGGCCGGACUCCAUCUUUCUUUCCCUCCUGAGUCUGGAUUUUCCAGGCUUCGCACUGCCGGGGCUUGAACCGCUCGAUCCGUCAGUGGUAUUCAUUGAGCGCUUACCGUGGGCCGAGCUCUCUAACGCUUUAGAGAGCAUAAUACGAUAGGGUCGGUAGAGACCGUCCUUGCCCUUCGGCAAAGCGGAGGACAAGGACAGCAGGAAUUUCAUUCAUUCACUCAGUAGUGUUUAUGGAGCGCUUACUAGGUGCAGAGCACUGUACUAAGCGCUCGGAAUGGGCAGAUCGGCAACAGAGAGAGACCGUCCCCGCCCUCUGACGGGCGCACGGUCUAAUCGGGGGAGACGGACAGACAAGGACGAUAGCAAUAAAUCGGAUCUGGGGGAUGAACAGCUCGUUAAAACAAGAGCAAAUGAACAGAAUCGAGGCGACGACCGUUUCAUCAACAAAAUAAAUAGGGUCAUGAAAAUAUAUGCAGUCGAGCCGACGAGUACAGCGCUGAGGGGAUAAGGGGAUACAGUGCAGGAAUCCCACCUGGUCCAUCACCAGCCCCGAGAGGCGUCCUGGAGGCAGCGUGGCCUCCCGGGCCUGGGAGUCAGAAGGAUCUGGGUUCUAAUCCCACCUCCACCUCUCGUCUGCUCUGUCAUCUGUGGCAAGUCACUUCACUUUUCACCUCAGCUCUAUAAUGGGGAUUAAGACCGCAAGCCCCAUGAGGGACAGGGGCUGUGUCCGCCGUGAUUAGCUGGUUUCUAUCCAGCGCUUAGAACAGAGCUUGGCACAUAGUAAGCGCUUAACAGAUACCAUCGUCGUCAUCAUCAGGAGGCCCUACCACACCUCCAGACGUAGCAGAGUUCAGGCGGUGUGUUCCGCGGAGCGUGUCUUACCGGAUAGACCGCGGGCCUGGGAGUCGGAAGGCCGCGGGUUCUAAUCCUGGCUCCACCACCUGUCUGCUGUGUGUCCUUGGGCGAGUCACUUCACCUCUCUGGGCCUCAGUUCCCUCAUCAGUAAAAUGGAGAUUGAGACUGUGAGCCCCAGGUGGGACAGGGACCGUGUCCAGUCCGCUUUGCUCGUGGGACAACCCGAUUUCCCUGUAUCUACCCCGGUGCUUAGAACAGUGCUUGGCACAUAGUAAGCGCUUAACAGUUACCAUCAUUUAUUAUUAUUAUUAUUAUUAUUAUCAGAGGGGGAGAAAGACACUGAUGUAAAUCCCCCGAUUAGACCGUAAGCCCGUCACUGUCUCUAUCUGUUGCCGAUCUGUCCAUUCCAAGCGCUUAGUACAGUGCUCCGCACGUAGUAAGCGCUCAAUAAAUACUAUCGAAUGAACGAAUAAACUUACGGAUAUGGACGUAAGUGCCGUGGGGCUCGGGGCGGAGGUGGUGAAUGAAGAGAGCAAGCCAGGGCGAUGCAGAAGGGGGAGAGGAAAGAGGAAAUGAGAGCUUAGGGCUCGACCUCUUGGAGCUCAAGAUACAUCUAGGCCUCUCGGAGAUGUACUUUCAAUAAGGCUCUGACGGUAGGGAGAGUAAACUGUCGUAUCCGAUACGAAAAGGGAGGGUGUUCCAGGCCAGAGGUAGGAUGCGGUCCAAAGUUCGGAGGCGAAAUAGGGGAGAAAGAGGUAGUGAGUAGGCCGGCAUCAGAGGAGGCAGACGCGUGUGGGUCGUAGGAAAGCGGAGAGGUGAGGUUGGCGGGGGCAGACUGAUCGAAUGCCUCGAAGUCAGUCGUGAGGAGAUUCUGUUUGAUGCGGAGGUGGAUGGACGACCACCGGAGGUCCUCGAGGAGGGGGGAGACGUGGACUGAAUGUUUUCGUGAAAAAUGAUGCGGACAGCGGAAUGAAGUGUGGACUGGAGAGGGGAGAGACGGGAGAGGUGGGUCAGCCAGGAGGCUGAUGCGGUAAUCAAGGUGGGAUAGGAGAAGUGCUUGGAUCAGUGUGACAGUUCGGACGGUUGAAAUGAGGGUUUGGUGAUAGACCGAAUACGUGGACUGAACGAGAGAGAGCGGUCAAGGAUGACGCUGAAGUUAUGGGCUUGUGAGACGGGAGGGAUGGUGGUGCUGUCUACAGCGAUGGGAAAGUCGAGGGGAGAACGGGAUUCUAAGGAGUCCUGUUCUGGACACGUUAAGUUCGAGAUGACUGCAGCGAGCCCGUCAUUGGCUAUCUGUUACCGAACUGUACACUCCAAGCGCUUAGUACAGUGCUCUGCACAUAGUAAGCGCUCCAUAAAUACUAUUGAAUGAAUAAGGUCCAAGUAGAGAUGUCUUGAAGGCGAGAGGAAAUGCAAGCCUGCAGAGAAGGAGAGAGAUCAGGGCUGGAGUUGUAGAUUUGGGAAUCAUCGGCCUAGAGGAGGCAGUUGAAGCCCUGGGAGCGAAGGAGUUCUCCGAGCGUGGGUGUAAACGGAGAAUAGAAGGGGACCCCGAACUGAACCUUGCAAGAUCCCCCACAGUUAGGGGGUUGGAGGCGGAGGAAGGCGCCACGGAAGGGAUCGAGAAUGAGCGGCCAGAGAAGAUGCGGGAAGAUGUGGGAAGAUGGCUCCGGGAUAAUUUGGGGGAAAGCUCCCGAAACCUAGGUCUCCCAGUUGGGCAGAAACUGAGCUAGGGUUUUAUGAAAAAUGGAAGGGAUGAGGUUCUGGAGGGCGUUUGUUUUCAUUGUUCCUUUAAUGGCGUUUGGUAAGUGAUGAUGAUGAUGGUAUUUGUUAAGGAGUCCAUAAAAGAGAUCGAGAGAGGAGGAAAGCCAGGUGAGGACGGUGUCAGCGAAACCGAGGUUGGAUAACGUUCCCAGGAGAAAGGAAUGAUCUGCAGCGGUGAAGGCGGCCGAGAGGUCGAGGAGGAUUAGGAGGGAGUAGAGGCCGUUGGAUUUGGCGAGAAGGAGAUCACUGGUGAUCUUUGCGAGGAUGGUUUUUUUGGAGUGAAGGGGAUGGAAGCCGGGCCGGCGGGGGUGAAGGAGAGAAUUGGAAGAACUUGAGACGGCAGGAGUAGACGACUCGUCCGAGGAGUUUGGAGAGGAACGGAAGGAGGGAGAUGGGGCGGUAACUGGAGGGAGCCGUGGGUCGCGGAGGGGAUUUUUUAGGGUGGGGGAGACAUGAAAGCAGUGGGGAGGAAGCCACUGGCUAGCCAAAAGUCGAAGAUGGCGGUCAGGCGGGGAAGAAGGGAGAAGAAAGAAGGGAGAAGACUUCUCCCUUUUGAGUCAUCUAUGCGCUUGCGUCUGUGGCCUCUGGCCAUUCGAUACUAACCCCACAGCACCUAGGUACAUAGUUGUAAAUUCUAUUUUUAUAAAUUAUUUCUAUCAAUGCCUGUC
RNAcentral lists this long non-coding RNA (5052 nucleotides) under Ornithorhynchus anatinus (platypus). Its description in RNAcentral is "lncRNA (ENSOANG00000044197.1)". Lineage: Eukaryota; Metazoa; Chordata; Mammalia; Monotremata; Ornithorhynchidae. The record is from RNAcentral.